GGUAACUCUGGGGUCACUCCAGGGUCAUUCUGGGGUCACUCCAGGGUCAUUUUGGGGCCAUUUUGGGGUCAUUCCAGGGGGUCCCUAUUGGUCACUUUGGGGUCACUCUGGGGCCAUUUAGGGCCAUUUUGGGGCCAUUUUGGGGUCACUCCGGGGUCAUUUUGGGGCCAUUCCAGGGGGUCACUCCAGGGUCAUUUGGGGGUCAUUCGGGGGUCAUGGCGGGGGGUCACUCGGGGGUAGUUCGGGGGGGUCACUCAGGGGUCACUUUGAGGUCAUUCCAAGGUCAUUUCGGGGUCACUCACCGGCGGUGGGGCAGCCCCACGAGCAGCAGGUUGGGCUGUUGGUCCCUCUGGGGGUCACUCUGGGGGUCACUCCGGGGUCACUCGGGGUCAUUUUGGGGCCAUUUUGGGGCAUUUCGGGGUCAUUUUGGGGCCCUCUUGGGGACAUUUUGGGGUCAUUUUGGGGCCUUCUUGGGGACAUUUUGGGGUCAUUUUGGGCCAUUUUGGGUCAUUUUGGGGUCAUUUUGGGGCCAUUUUGGGUCAUUUUGGGGCCAUUUUGGGCCAUUUGGGGCCAUUUUGGGCCAUUUGGGGCCAUUUUGGGCCAUUUGGGGGUCAUUUUGGGGCCUUUUUGGGCCAUUUUGGGGCCAUUUCGGGGUCAUUUUGGGGUCAUUUCGGGGUCACUUUGGGGCCAUUUUGGGCCAUUUCGGGGUCACUUUGGGGCCAUUUUGGGGCCAUUUUGGGCCAUUUCGGGGUCACUUUGGGGCCAUUUUGGGGUCAUUCCAGGGGGUCCCUACUGGUCACUUUGAGGUCAUUCCAGGGUCACUGUGGGGUCACUCCGGGGUCAUUUUGGGGUCACUCACCGGCUGUGGGGCAGCCCCACGAGCAGCAGGUUGGGCUGUUGGUCCCUCUGUUGGUCCCUCUGGGGGUCACUCCGGGGGUCCGUCCAGUUCAGCCUCAGCCCCUGCAGAGCCCCCCCGGGCAGCUGCAGGGGGGGAGGGGCGCCCAGCAGGCGCUGCAGGGUCAGCGGCAGGGCGGCCAACGCCGCUCCGGCCACGCCCGGGAUGGUCAGGGCUGACCCUGCUGAGCCCAGCGCGGCCUGCAAGGGAAAAAGGACCAAAAAAAUCAAAAUUAGCACAAAAAAACCCAAAAUUAGCACAAAAAAACCCAAUUUAUACCAAAAAAAUAAAAAAAUUGGACCAAAAAAACCCAAAAUUAGACCA
RNAcentral lists this long non-coding RNA (1219 nucleotides) under Chloebia gouldiae (Gouldian finch). RNAcentral describes it as "Erythrura gouldiae (Gouldian finch) lncRNA (ENSEGOG00005018707.1)". Lineage: Eukaryota; Metazoa; Chordata; Aves; Passeriformes; Passeridae. The record is from RNAcentral.